This 436-nucleotide ribosomal RNA is filed under the name uncultured Barnesiella sp. RNAcentral's name for it is "bacterial SSU rRNA". It matches the Rfam family "Bacterial small subunit ribosomal RNA", at positions 349 to 782 of the family's 1533-position model. The record is from RNAcentral. Lineage: Bacteria; Pseudomonadati; Bacteroidota; Bacteroidia; Bacteroidales; Barnesiellaceae.
CAGCAGUGAGGAAUAUUGGUCAAUGGGCGCAAGCCUGAACCAGCCAAGUCGCGUGAGGGAAGACGGCCCUACGGGUUGUAAACCUCUUUUGCCGGGGAGCAAGCCUGAGCACGUGUGCCCAGGCGGAGAGUACCCGGAGAAAAAGCAUCGGCUAACUCCGUGCCAGCAGCCGCGGUAAUACGGAGGAUGCGAGCGUUAUCCGGAUUUAUUGGGUUUAAAGGGUGCGCAGGCGGGCUGUUAAGCCGGCGGUAAAAAUUCAGGGCUCAACCCUGUCGAGCCGUCGGAACUGGCAGUCUUGAGUGGGCGAGAAGUAUGCGGAAUGCGUGGUGUAGCGGUGAAAUGCAUAGAUAUCACGCAGAACGCCGAUUGCGAAGGCAGCAUACCGGCGCCCGACUGACGCUGAGGCACGAAAGCGUGGGGAUCGAACAGGAUUAGA